UUUCAUUUAAAUUAAGCCUCCAUUCUGUUCCUUUACCCAUAGGGCGAGUGGAUGUCUUUAACAUGCAAGAGGAAAUGUGGAGCUAUCAGGGCUGCCCGUCUUAAAGCACAGACUGAGCAGUAGUAUAAAACUCCAACAUUA
Molecule: small nucleolar RNA, 141 nt
Organism: Protopterus annectens (West African lungfish)
Lineage: Eukaryota; Metazoa; Chordata; Ceratodontiformes; Protopteridae
Product: small nucleolar RNA U109
Exons: 1
Source: RefSeq, a predicted model, not a curated record